This 793-nucleotide ribosomal RNA is filed under the name uncultured Sphingobacteriia bacterium. Its description in RNAcentral is "bacterial SSU rRNA". It matches the Rfam family "Bacterial small subunit ribosomal RNA", at positions 59 to 844 of the family's 1533-position model. The record is from RNAcentral. Lineage: Bacteria; Pseudomonadati; Bacteroidota; Sphingobacteriia.
AAGUCGAGGGGCAACAGGUCCGUAGCAGUACGGAUGCUGGCGACCGGCAAACGGGUGCGGAACACGUACACAACCUUCCUUUGAGCGGGGAAUAGCCCGGGGAAACCCGGAUUAGUACCUCAUAGUAUGGUGAAGAGGCAUCUCUUUACUAUUAAAGAUUUAUCACUUAAAGAUGGGUGUGCGGCUGAUUAGGUAGUUGGCGGGGUAACGGCCCACCAAGCCUACGAUCAGUAACUGGUGUGAGAGCACGACCAGUCACACGGGCACUGAGACACGGGCCCGACUCCUACGGGAGGCAGCAGUAAGGAAUAUUGGUCAAUGGACGAAAGUCUGAACCAGCCAUGCCGCGUGGAGGAUGAAGGUCCUCUGGAUUGUAAACUUCUUUUAUAUGGGACGAAAAAAGGCUUUUCCAGGUCGUCUGACGGUACCAUAUGAAUAAGCACCGGCUAACUCCGUGCCAGCAGCCGCGGUAAUACGGAGGGUGCAAGCGUUAUCCGGAUUCACUGGGUUUAAAGGGUGCGUAGGUGGGUUAGUAAGUCAGUGGUGAAAUCCCCGAGCUUAACUUGGGAACUGCCAUUGAUACUAUUAAUCUUGAAUACCGUGGAGGUCAGCGGAAUAUGUCAUGUAGCGGUGAAAUGCUUAGAUAUGACAUAGAACACCAAUUGCGAAGGCAGCUGGGCUACGCGAAUAUUGACACUGAUGCACGAAAGCGUGGGGAUCAAACAGGAUUAGAUACCCUGGUAGUCCACGCCCUAAACUAUGGAUACUCGACAUCAGCGAUACACUGUUGGGU